RNAcentral lists this transfer RNA (75 nucleotides) under Cordylochernes scorpioides. RNAcentral's name for it is "tRNA-Thr". It matches the Rfam family "tRNA". Rfam says of the family: Transfer RNA (tRNA) molecules are approximately 80 nucleotides in length. Their secondary structure includes four short double-helical elements and three loops (D, anti-codon, and T loops). Lineage: Eukaryota; Metazoa; Arthropoda; Arachnida; Pseudoscorpiones; Chernetidae. The record is from RNAcentral.
UCCAGGGUAUGCCUAGUGGAUAUGGCAUCUGCCCGGUAAGCGGAACACUUUUGGGUUCGAUUCCCAUCCCUGGAU